RNAcentral lists this ribosomal RNA (458 nucleotides) under uncultured bacterium. Its description in RNAcentral is "partial 16S ribosomal RNA". It matches the Rfam family "Bacterial small subunit ribosomal RNA", at positions 338 to 795 of the family's 1533-position model. The record is from RNAcentral.
CCUACGGGAGGCAGCAGUGAGGAAUAUUGGUCAAUGGCCGGAAGGCUGAACCAGCCAUGCCGCGUGAAGGUCAGUGCCCUAUGGGCGUUAAACUUCUUUUGUGCGGGAGCAAUAAUGGUCACGUGUGGCCAGACGAGAGUACCGUACGAAUAAGCAUCGGCUAACUCCGUGCCAGCAGCCGCGGUAAUACGUAGGGAGCGAGCGUUGUCCGGAAUUACUGGGUGUAAAGGGAGCGUAGGCGGGCGAGAAAGUUGAAUGUUAAAUCUACCGGCUUAACUGGUAGCUGCGUUCAAAACUUCUUGUCUUGAGUGAAGUAGAGGCAGGCGGAAUUCCUAGUGUAGCGGUGAAAUGCGUAGAUAUUAGGAGGAACACCAGUGGCGAAGGCGGCCUGCUGGGCUUUAACUGACGCUGAGGCUCGAAAGCGUGGGGAGCAAACAGGAUUAGAUACCCCAGUAGUC